This 74-nucleotide transfer RNA is filed under the name Ornithinimicrobium laminariae. RNAcentral's name for it is "Ornithinimicrobium sp. Arc0846-15 tRNA-Val". It matches the Rfam family "tRNA". From Rfam's summary of the family: Transfer RNA (tRNA) molecules are approximately 80 nucleotides in length. Their secondary structure includes four short double-helical elements and three loops (D, anti-codon, and T loops). Lineage: Bacteria; Bacillati; Actinomycetota; Actinomycetes; Micrococcales; Ornithinimicrobiaceae. The record is from RNAcentral. RNAcentral also lists the same sequence under 1 other name.
GGACGUAUAGCUCAGUUGGUUAGAGCGUUCGCUUCACACGCGAGAGGUCAUGGGUUCGAGUCCCUUUACGUCCA